CACGUAGGCGGGUCGUUAAGUCAGAGGUGAAAGCCUGGAGCUCAACUCCAGAACUGCUUUGAAAACUGUUAAUCUAGAAUGUGGGAGAGGUAGAUGGAAUUUCUGGUGUAGGGUAAAAUCCGUAGAGAUCAGAAGGAAUACCGAUUGCGAAGGCGAUCUACUGGAACAUUAUUGACGCUGAGAUGCGAAAGCGUGGGGAGCAAACA
This 206-nucleotide ribosomal RNA is filed under the name uncultured bacterium. RNAcentral's name for it is "partial 16S ribosomal RNA". It matches the Rfam family "Bacterial small subunit ribosomal RNA", at positions 568 to 774 of the family's 1533-position model. The record is from RNAcentral.